UCAAAUGAGGAAAGGCUUACGGUGGAUACCUAAGGACCUAGAGACGAGGAAGGGCGUAGUAAUCGACGAAAUGCUUCGGGGAGUUGAAAAUAAGCAUAGAUUUGGAGAUUCCCGAAUAGAGAAACCUUUCAAACUACUGUUGAAGCCAUGCAUAGGUAAGAGACAACGUGGCUAACUGAAACAUCUUAGUACCUAGAGGAAAAGAAAGCAAAAGCGAUUCCAGUUGUAGUGGCGAGCAAAACGGGAGCAGCCUAAAUCAUGAAAAUGAAGUUGUGAGAGAGCAAUACAAGUGUCAUGCUGCUAGGCGAAGCAGCAGAAAUGCUACAUCCUAGAUGGCAAAAGUCUAGUAGCCAAAAGCAUCACUAGCUUACGCUCUGACCCGAGUUACAUGGGAGACGUGGAAUCUCGUGUGAAUUAGCAAGGACCACAUUACAAGGCUAAAUACUCUUGGGUGACCGAUAGCAAAGUAGUACCAUGAGGGAAGGGUGAAAAGCUCCCAAGCAAUGGGAGGAGCCAAGUCUCUGAUCGUGUGCCUGUUGAAGAAUGAGUCGACGACUCAUAGGUAGUAGCUUGGUUAAGGGAACCCAUUGGAGCCAUAGCAAAAGUAAGUCUUCAUAGGGAAAUUGUCACUACUUAUGGACCCAAACCUAGGUGAUCUAUUCAUAACCAAGAUGAAGCUCGAGUGAAACUAAAUGGAGUUCCAAACCAACUGAUGUUGAAGAAUCAGCAUAUGAGUUGUGGUUAGGGCUAAAAUGCCACUCAAACCCAGAGCUAGCCAUUUCUCCCCGAAAUGCAUUGAGAUGCAACAGUUGACUCAACAUCUUGGUAUAAAGCACUGUUUCGAUGCAGACUAUGAGAGCGGUACCAAAUUGAGGCAAACUUUGAAUACUAGAUAUGACCUCAAAAUAACUGGGGUUAAGGUCGGCCAGUGAGACGAUGGGGGAUAAGCUUCAUCAUCGAGAGGGAAACAGACUAGAUAACCAGCUAAGGUUCCUAAAUGAUCGCUCAGUGAUAAAAGAGAUAGGGGUGUAGAGAUAGCUAGGAGGUUUGCCUAAAAGCAGCCACACUUGAAAAAGUGUGUAAUAGCUCACUGAUCUAGCACUCUUACGUCGAAGAUGAAUGGGACUAAGCGAUUUGUUGAAGCUUUGGGAUGUAAAUAUACAUCGGUAGGGGAGUGUUCCACCUUAGAAGGAAGCCCCCACGUGAGCAGUGGUGGACGAAGCGGAAGCAAGAAUGUCGGCUUGAGUAAUGCAAACAUUGAUGAGAAUCCAAUGCCCCAAAAAUCUAAGGGUUCCUUCGCAAGGUUCGUCCACGGAGGGUGAGUUAGGGCCUAAGAUCAGGAUGAAAGGCAUAGUCGAUGGACAACAAGUGAAUAUUCCUAUACUAUCCCUUGUUGGUCCCGAUGGAUGGAAGAUGCUAGGUUAGCCAAAAGCUGGUUAUCGAUUCGAGAACGUAAGGUGCCCCUGUUAUUUCAGGGUAAGAAGGGGUGGAGAAAAUGCCUCGAGCCAAUGUUUGAGCACCAGGGGCUACAGUGCUGAAGUAACCCAUGCCAUACUACUAGGAAAAGCUCGAACGACCUUUAAACAAAAGGGUACCUAUACCCGAAAUCGACACAGGUGGGUAGGAAGAGAAUACCUAGGGGUGCGAGAUAACUCUCUUUAAGGAACUUGCCAAAAUAUCCUUGUAACUUCUAGAGAAGGGGUGCCUCCUUACAAAGGGGUUUGCAGUGACCAGGCCCGGGUGACUGUUUACGAAAAACACAUGUCUUCGCAAAGUCAUAAGACCAUGUAUGGGGCUGGCGCCUGCCCACUGCCGAAAGGUCAAAGAAGUUGGUGACCUGAUAAUAGAGGAGUCGACGACCAAAGCCCUGGUGAAUUGCGACUGUAACUAUAACAGUCCUAAGGUAGCAAAAUUCCUUAUCGGGUAAGUUUCGACUCGCACGAAAGGCGUAACGAUCUGAGUACUACCUCGAAAAGAGGCUUAGUGAAACAGACAUGUCUGUGAAGAUACGGACUAUCGGCAUCUGGAUAGAAAGACCCUAUGAAGCUUCACUAUUCCCUGAGAUUGGGUUUAGGCCUUUCCUGCGCAGCUUAGGUGGAAGGCGAAGAAGGCCUCCUUCCGGGGGGGGCCCAAGCCAUCAGUGAGAUACCACUCUGGAAGAGCUAGAAUUCUAACCUUGUGUCAGGACCUACGGGCCAAGGGACAGUCUCAGGUGGACAGUUUCUGGAGUUUCGUUCAUUGGCAUGUAUCAAAUCAUAUUUCACUAAAAUUUCAUAUGAGUUUUGUUCAUUGGCGCGUUUCCAAUCAAAUUUGAAAAAAAAAAUUCCCUUCAUUUUAUUUAAUUAAAGCGAUUCCAAUAAAAUUCGACUAAAAUUUCACCAAAGUUUCUUCAUUAGCAUGUAUCAAAUCAAAUUUGACCAAAAUUUCAAAUGGGUUUCUUUGGUCAGUGCUUUCCAAUCAAAUUUGACUAAAAUUUCAUGCUGAUUUUUUUCUUGGCCUAUUUCGAAUGAAUUUGACUAAAAUUUUACAUUAGUUUUGUUUAUUGAUGCGAUUGCAAUAAAAUUUGACUAAAAUUUCACCAGGGUUUCUUUUAUUGGCAUGUAUCAAAUCAAAUUUGACUAAAAUUUCAUUAGUGUUUUGUUAGUUGGUGCGUUUCCAAUAAAAUUUGACUAAAAUUUCACAUGAGUUUGGUUCUUUGACGCAUUUCGAAUUAAAUUUGACUGAAAUUUCUGAUGGGUUAUUACGUUGGUAUGUUUCUAAUCAAGUUUGACUGGAAUUUCACAUGAGUUU
This 2790-nucleotide ribosomal RNA is filed under the name Olea europaea var. sylvestris. RNAcentral's name for it is "bacterial LSU rRNA". The stretch from base 1 to 2318 matches the Rfam family "Bacterial large subunit ribosomal RNA". The record is from RNAcentral. Lineage: Eukaryota; Viridiplantae; Streptophyta; Magnoliopsida; Lamiales; Oleaceae.